This is a non-coding RNA of Meleagris gallopavo (turkey), 4725 nucleotides long. The record is from RefSeq and is a predicted model, not a curated record. NCBI's taxonomy places the organism in Eukaryota, Metazoa, Chordata, Aves, Galliformes, Phasianidae.
GUCUCAGCUUCUGUUCUUUGUGCUCUUUCUGAGAACUGCGAGCCGUAUUGGCCUCUGGACUGACAACUGAACGAGAUGUCUCGCUUGUACCUCUCCAGGAUCUUCAAGGUUUCUGAAAUCAUCCAGACAACUAGUGAACAGAAUUGCUAGCAUACUUAGACAAGUCUGAAACGUUUUUUUUUGCCCCAAGUUCUUACAUAGUAAUAGUUUACCUGUGUAGCAGUGACAGGGAUUUUAAUAUCUUGAGAUAUAUAUUGGACUAUAUAUUGUUUCUUUUAGAUAAGGAAAUUGAUCUACAGAUAUCCAUAGCAAGAUAAAACAGUUAUUCUUUUGGUAUCAGAGUGGCAAGUUCUCCAACUAAAUCAAAAUGAGCUGGCUGCUUUUCUUUGAGCCACCACAGUUUUCAUUUUACAUAGUUCUGUGAUAGAUUACUGGACAAUAAACUUUGGCUGUCACAUUAAUUCAGACACAUGCUUGUAGUGUGUUGUGGCUACUUGAGCACUGAAAGAUUUCUUGAGCUGGGUAGGUGAGAACUACCUAGAGAUAGAAAGUGUGUGUAAAGUGGUUUGGGAUAUAAGCUCCACUGUUCCCUAUUAUCUGUAAGGUCAGUUCAGAUGCACAAAUUUCACACAAUAUCAGGAUCACAGAAUUGUAGGGGUUGAAAGGAACCUCUGGAGAUCAUCAUAGAAGGCUACCAGGCAGACCAAGUGUGAUUUUCCCUUGGUGAAUCUGUGUUGACUAUUUCCAGUAACCUUCUUCUGCUUGCCUGGAAAUGAUGUCCAGAAUAAGUUGUUCCAUCACCUUCCCAGGGAUGAAGGUGAGGCUGACUGGCCUGUAGUUUUCGGGGCCCUCCUUCUUAUCCUUUUAGAGUACGGGAGUGACAUUGGCCAUCCUCUAGUCUUGAGGUACCUCUCUUGUUCUCCCUGACCUUUCAAAGAUUAUGUGGAAUGGUAUGGCUAUUACUUCUGCCAGCUACUUCAGCACUCAUGAGUGCAUCCUAUUGAGGCCCAUGGAUUUGUGCGUGUUGAGCUUGACUAGAUACUCUCUAGCCUCAUCUUUCUCUAAGAAGAGGAAGUCUUCUUUCCUCAGAUACUCUCUCCUACCUCCUGGGUCUGGGAUUCCUGAGGAGCAGUCCUAGCAGUAAAGACUGAAGCAAAGAAGGCUACAGGUAACUGUUUUUCCCAUGUUCUCUGUUACCAGGGCAUCUCCCUCAUUCAGUAGCAGACCCACAUUUUCUCUAGUCUCCCUUUUGUUACUUACAUACUUAAAGAAUCCUUUCUUGUUGCCCUUGUCCUCCCUCACCAGAUUUAAUUAGAAUGGUUCUUAGCCUUCCUCACUGCAUCCCUGCAUGCCCUGAUGACAUUCUUGUAUUCCUUCCAAGUGGCCAGAAGUGGGAGAAGUUUGGGAUUUGGAAUUGAGAUUGUUUCCAGUGUUCUACUUGGCCAGCACAUUUACUGUGCCUGGAAGCGCCUCCUACCUACAACCGCAUCCUGAAAGAGUGAGACUUUGACAGCUUCUUCACACUGGAGCCAGAACAGGAUCACUUUUGUGAAAUGUAAGGAGUAAGAAAGAUAGGAUUCAAACUGGCCAGUCAGCAGUUGACCUCAGGAUGUGCAAAUCCUCAUUUUAUUCAUACUGAUAACCUGUCCCACAGCUUCUCUGUCACUGGGUGAUUGAUGUCUGCACUAGCUUGUUUUUCAACCUGAUACUGUCCUUCAAGGAGUGGUUUUUUUUUGUUUGUUUGUUUGUUUUGUACGUGGGAAUAUGGUACACAUCCACAGCAUCUGCUGUAUAUACUGCUGGUAUAAGUAGGACUAGGGAAAUAUUAGCCUACUUAUAAGGCUGUAAUCUCACUUCUGGAUUUCUGCCUUUCAUUUGUAGUUAUUGCUCAACCUCAUUUUUCAGAAAGACUAAUAGUACUGAGCAUAAUGAGGUGGGAGUGUGAAAUGCAAAAUGAAUUGGAGUUUAAUAAGUCAUUCCUUUCCACUAUUGUUAUUUUUAUAUAUUUAUUUGUGUGUGUGUUUCUUUCCCUCUUCAUGUUCCCAUGUAUAAGCUACUGGAGCUCAGCUUUGUGCCUUCUGGUACAUGGGUGUUUUUCUGUGGUCUGCUCCACGGUGUUGUUGAAGACCAAAAUGUAAUCAUCUUAAUUGUCUUCUUGAUGAACUGUAGAGAAGUAAAAUCUGAAGGUGGCUGACCAUGGGAUUGCUCACCCAGUGACUGACAGCCUACCUGCAACACGUGCUCUAAGCCACAUUUGCCUCUGAUGUGGUUUUACCAGACCUUUUGGCAACGCAAGUCCUAAACUAUCAUGGCUGCUAAUAUGUUUCUACUAGAUGAGAGCGGGUACAGAUGUCUCUUCUAAGAAUGAUAUUUGCCCUGUGGUGGAAAAUCACUGUAUGCCACAAACAAUCUGAGGGAAGUGUGCAUAGGCCUCUUGAACAGCAGAACUCAAUAGAAAUAAUCCCGGUACGCAUGUUGAACUUAUACUGGCCUAUGACAUUGUAUGGUAACUGUUGAGGCAUGGCCUAAACCACUGAUUGAGCACCUGGGGAAAAGAUGCUGGGAGCACAGGUGAAGGCAAUUCAGCUGUGUGACCAGCAGGUGUAAAGCCUGACUGCACCUCUCUUUGACCUCAUUUAAGGGCUGACUGCCACUCUGGGAGGUUUUUUGGUCGGUGAUCCCUUCUGUGUGGAGUUUCCCUUAUGAGCCUAGUUCUUCAGAGGAAACAUGCAUGUUGUGGUUGGAACGCUGAAUCCCUGUGCUGUGUCAUGUGAAACCAAUGCGACUUCUGCUGCAGCUCUAGCAGGUAUAGCAUCAGGGUGUUUCACAUCAAGCUUAAGAAGCAGUGGGACUGGAGAACAGCAGCCAAGGUGCCUGGAGGAUCUGUCAACAUUUCAGACUCUGAAGACUUACUGGCAACUAAGAAAAGACUCAAAGGACAAGAAAUCAUUCAUAAGUUUUUUGUUAAAUCAUCAGGUCGUCUGGCUCACACAACCAUAUCUUUUUCAUAAAUGAUACUUUUACUGCUCUUUUUUUUUUAAUACUAGAAGCCAUUCAGCAUAAGGUCCUGUGUUACAUUCUUGGCUUUCUUUCCCUGUGCCAUCUGUUAUUAUGGUGUAUUGUUGAAAGGUUGGUGUUGCUAUUGCACAUGUGAGAGUAAAACAGACAGGGCAUACCAUGUCAAUUCAUAGUGCCAAAACAUGGGCUGCAUUUUAAAUUAAUUUUCAGGAGGUUGAAGCUAAUGGUCUUUAUAAGGUUUCCAGAUUUGAGCAGGCUGACAAAAUGACAUGUAAUAACUGCCUUGCUGAGCAGAGCUGGCUUUUGAAUGUAAUUCAGGAAUUGGAGCAGCCUCUCACCUUUCGAUCCUUUUCCCUCCAUCCCCAGCUCCAUCUUGCAUUUCUGAGGAGGCUGAAAUUGCCUAUUUCAUGUCUUCAUUCAGUGUUUUUAGUUGGUCCCUUCUCACCCAGCCUUUGCCCUAUUUUUUUUCUCUAUGCUCAUGUAGUUUUGAGGUUCCUUGGUUCUGGAUGUCCAGCAUUGGCCUAUAGAAUGUAAGCACUGCAAGGAGGUUCAGGCUUAUAUAGUGUAUUUCUAUAUUGCAUAUGUAGUUGACCUUUCUUUGUAAUUCAUGACUUGGGUUUCUUUAAGUUGUUUUUUCUUCUGUUUCUUUCUAUCCAAGUAGUUUUGGCUGUUCUUCACCUUUUCUCUUAACCCACCUAAUGAAGCUUUACUUAAAACCUGUUUAGUUUUUGUUCUCGCCUGUUCAAUUUGCCUGCGGGAAGUAUUAAUGACGAUACCAAAUGAGUGAGACUAUACAUAAUAAAAGUUAUAAUAAAAGUUGUUAUAUAAAAAUUAAUACUUAUAUAGGAAGAGCUACAUAAAUGUAGAGGCAUGCUGAGAAUGGCUUGCUGUUUUGAUGCAGCAGGAUGCCUGUCUAGAAUAUGUUGUGCAAUUUUACAGUUUCCAGAUACCUCAAUGUGGAUGGAAAGAUGGAAUUUAGUCCAUAUUGCUAAAGGAUUAGAAGCUGAAGUAUAGAUUUUAAUACUCCAAAAGAUGCUGAGGAAGGAUAGUUUGUUGUCUGCAUUUAAUUCUGUGAAACUGAGAGAGCGGAGGAUGGAUAUAUUGGAUGUAUAAUUUUUCAAGAGAAGCUGAGGUUUGUCUUGAAGGUUCUGGCUAUCUUUUUUUUUUUUCUCCUCCAUGUUUUCUCCUUCUCUUUCCCUUCCUUCCCAACACACGUGUAUUGUUGUUCAAUUCACUUUCAUCUUUUCUCUUGACUGCUGAUUAUGCCAUUUUUCUUCAUAAACUCCAAAACUCUUUUCAGAGUCAACCCACAUAACUGUUAUUGCUAACCUAUUCUCACCAUGUAAGAGAAAAAGCAGUCGUCUUUGCCAAUCUGGAGUCCUUUACCUGCAGAAAUUGGUGAUUUCAGUGAAUCCAGCAGUGGAACACAUGCAUUCCUCCCUGCUGUCUUUUUUAUUGGGGUAUCAGCUGUGUGUGGCUGGACAGGCUGAAUUCUGGGGGAAAUGGCCUCUGGCCUCAAGGCAAAUUACUGCUGCUUCACUGGGCUUCUUGCCUGUCUCUGCUCUUACACAAAGAAUGUGUCCUGCAUGUACAGCAUCUGAACUGUCUUUAAACUCUGUAUUAGAAUAAAAUAGGUUUUCUGGAAGAUGGGGGAAACACCUGAGGCUAUAAUUCAGAGGAGUCUUCAUUCUAGUUUCAUUGCCUAGC